UUGGUGAGCCCUUCUCUCACACUUUGUCAAGGAUGAACCCUACAUUUUGAAUUUGAAUUUGAAUCCAUCACCGGUUCAUAUUGAAUCUGAAAUUGAAUCCAUAUUGGUGAGCCCUUCUCUCACACUUUGUCACCGAUUCUCAUCCCUCUCAAUGCCAUGAGUAUCGACGCCAAACCCGUUCCCAUAUCGAAUCUGUGAGUAUCAAACUCGUCCCCCUCUCGAACCUGUGACCCUCUCGAACCUGUCACCGUCACUCUCAGAGUCGUCGUUCAAUGUCGUCGUCUCGCUCUCAUCUGUGAAUGACUUCAAGGAAAGGCAAAUGGUUUAAACUUGGAUAGUAGUCGCAUGUGUCAGUUUUGCAGUGGUUUAAACUUCAAGUAGGAAAGGCAAAUGGUCUAGAGCUUUAUCUAUAAAUAGUAGUCGCCUGUUUCAGUUUUACAGCGGAUUAUCUUGGAUAUUCAUUUUGCAUAAGUUGAAAAGCAAAUGGUUUCAAUUAUAUGUUGUUUUGGAGAUAUCAACCUCAAUGCAAAUAUGACUUUUGUUGUUGAAGAGUUCAAGAAUUGCAUACUCCAAUAAAAGAUGGUGGUCCUUUCUGGCAGCUUUAAAAGAACUCGCCUUUUGUGGCUAGACUAGAUAAUAUCUACAAAAGUUCAAAGUUUUGUUUCUCCCUGUUAAAAAUUCUGAGGUAAAAUGAGAGUAAGUAAUUAAAGAGAAGAGCAAUCAAGAUCAUUGGAGUCAAGAUUUGAUAAAAUAGGACAUAUGGAAUUCGCUGAGCGAGCAAACGUCUAGCUAAGCGAGUUCAAAACAAUGAGUUUGCUAAACCAUUGGAGAAAGCUUGGAAAUAAUUAUUGAAGACCAAUUUCUCUUCUUUUCAUCUUGAUCUUGUAAAGCUACCAAUGCGAUGAAUAGCUACACUUUUCUUUGUUCGAAUUAGAUGUAAUUAAUCAUAUUUUUCUGUAUCUCU
This is a long non-coding RNA of Cicer arietinum (chickpea), 964 nucleotides long. RefSeq lists it as uncharacterized. The record is from RefSeq and is a predicted model, not a curated record. Lineage: Eukaryota; Viridiplantae; Streptophyta; Magnoliopsida; Fabales; Fabaceae.